CCUACGGGAGGCAGCAGUGGGGAAUAUUGCACAAUGGGGGAAAUCCUGAUGCAGCGACGCCGCGUGAGUGAAGAAGUAAUUCGUUAUGUAAAGCUCUAUCAGCAGUGAAUUGACGGUACCUGCACAGGAAGCACCGGCUAACUCCGUGCCAGCAGCCGCGGUAAUACGGAGGGUGCGAGCGUUAAUCGGACUUACUGGGCGUAAAGCGCUCGUAGGCGGUAUGUCAAGUCAAGGGUGAAAUCCCCGCGCUCAACGUGGGACCUGCCUUUGAAACUGGCAGACUGGAGUGUGUGAGAGGAUAGUGGAAUUCCAGGUGUAGGAGUGAAAUGCGUAGAUAUCUGGAGGAACAUCAGUGGCGAAGGCGACUAUCUGGCACAUAACUGACGCUGAGGAGCGAAAGCGUGGGUAGCAAACAGGAUUAGAUACCCUAGUAGUC
This 436-nucleotide ribosomal RNA is filed under the name uncultured bacterium. RNAcentral's name for it is "partial 16S ribosomal RNA". It matches the Rfam family "Bacterial small subunit ribosomal RNA", at positions 338 to 795 of the family's 1533-position model. The record is from RNAcentral.